RNAcentral lists this ribosomal RNA (206 nucleotides) under uncultured bacterium. RNAcentral describes it as "partial 16S ribosomal RNA". It matches the Rfam family "Bacterial small subunit ribosomal RNA", at positions 568 to 774 of the family's 1533-position model. The record is from RNAcentral.
UCCGUAGGCGGUGUGGCAAGUCGGGAGUGAAAUCUCUGGGCUUAACCCAGAGGCUGCUUCCGAAACUGCCGUGCUAGAGUGUGAGAGAGGCGAGUGGAAUUGCGGGUGUAGCGGUGAAAUGCGUAGAUAUCCGCAGGAACAUCCGAGGCGAAAGCGGCUCGCUGGAUCACAACUGACGCUGAGGGCGAAAGCUAGGGGAGCAAACA